This 45-nucleotide non-coding RNA is filed under the name Schistosoma mattheei. Lineage: Eukaryota; Metazoa; Platyhelminthes; Trematoda; Strigeidida; Schistosomatidae. The record is from RNAcentral.
AUCCAGCUGAAGAGUCCGAACUAGGACGAAACGCGAGGCCUAGAU